AGGAGAGUUCCUUUAUCGGUAAGAAGGGUCGAGCUGUAAACUCGAUAGCGUUGCUUGUAAGAGUUCGAAUCUCUUGUCUCCUA
This 83-nucleotide transfer RNA is filed under the name Moelleriella libera RCEF 2490. Its description in RNAcentral is "Aschersonia aleyrodis RCEF 2490 tRNA". It matches the Rfam family "tRNA". From Rfam's summary of the family: Transfer RNA (tRNA) molecules are approximately 80 nucleotides in length. Their secondary structure includes four short double-helical elements and three loops (D, anti-codon, and T loops). Further hydrogen bonds mediate the characteristic L-shaped molecular structure. tRNAs have two regions of fundamental functional importance: the anti-codon, which is responsible for specific mRNA codon recognition, and the 3' end, to which the tRNAs corresponding amino acid is attached (by aminoacyl-tRNA synthetases). tRNAs cope with the degeneracy of the genetic code in two manners: having more than one tRNA (with a specific anti-codon) for a particular amino acid; and 'wobble' base-pairing, i.e. permitting non-standard base-pairing at the 3rd anti-codon position. Lineage: Eukaryota; Fungi; Ascomycota; Sordariomycetes; Hypocreales; Clavicipitaceae. The record is from Rfam by way of RNAcentral.